This 270-nucleotide ribosomal RNA is filed under the name uncultured archaeon. RNAcentral's name for it is "partial 16S ribosomal RNA". It matches the Rfam family "Archaeal small subunit ribosomal RNA", at positions 477 to 747 of the family's 1478-position model. The record is from RNAcentral.
CAGCACCUCAAGUGGUCAGGAUGAUUAUUGGGCCUAAAGCAUCCGUAGCCGGCUCUGUAAGUUUUCGGUUAAAUCUGUACGCUCAACGUACAGGCUGCCGGGAAUACUGCAGAACUAGGGAGUGGGAGAGGUAGACGGUACUCGGUAGGAAGGGGUAAAAUCCUUUGAUCUAUUGAUGACCACCUGUGGCGAAGGCGGUCUACCAGAACACGUCCGACGGUGAGGGAUGAAAGCUGGGGGAGCAAACCGGAUUAGAGACCCGAGUAGUCC